CUAACCAGGAUUCCCUCAGUAACUGCGAGUGAAGCGGGAAAAGCUCAGACUGAAAAUCUUCGGAAUUGUAGUCUGGAGAAGUAUGGUCAGCCGAUGAUGAUGAGUGAAGUCUUCUGGAAAGGAGCGCCUUGGAGGGUGAUAGCCCCGUUCAUACUUAUCAUUAGAAGCGUACGACCUGCUUUCUACGAGUCGUGUUGUUUGGGACUGCAGCACUAAGUGGGUGGUAAAUUCCAUCUAAAGCUAAAUAUUGGUGGGAGACCGAUAGCGAACAAGUACCGUGAGGGAAAGAUGCAAAGAACUUUGAAAAGAGAGUUAAAUAGUACCUGAAAUUGCUGAAAUGGAACCGAUGGGAAGCAGUGUCGGUGGCGGGUAUUUAUACCUGUCACAAGCCAGGCUUCUUUUCUAGUGCGGGAAAGGCUGAUAAACUAGUUUAGGUUAUCUACGCCGUCGUGCUGGCGAAGGACUCUGACGAAAUGCUUCUCAUCACCCCGUCUUGAAACACGGACCAAGGAGUCUAACAUGUGUGCGAGUGCUCGGGGUCAACCCCCCAGCGCGAAAUAAACGUAAAGGGGAAUUUAUUCCCUUAGGUAGGAUCCUUAGGUGCACUAUCGACCGACCAUGAUCCUCCGGGAGAAAGGUUUGAGUGUGAGCAUACAUGUUGGGACCCGAAAGAUGGUGAACUAUGCUUGAGUAGGGCGAAGCCAGGGGAAACUCUGGUGGAGGUCCGCAGCGAUUCUAACGUGCAAAUUGAUCGUCGAACUUGGGUAUAGGGGCGAAAGACUAAUCGAACCAUCUAGUAGCUGGUUCCUCCCGAAAUUUCCCUUAGGAUAGCUGCAACCGAACAGUUUUAUCAGGUAAAGCGAAUGAUUAGAGGCAUCAGGGGUGGAAUAUCCUUGACCUAUUCUCAAACUUUAAAUGGGUAAGAACCCUGGGUUGCUUAAUUGAACCCGGUGGUCGAAUGACGGUUGCUAGUGGGCCAAUCUGGGUAAGCUAGAUUGGCGAUGCGGGAUGAUCCGAACGUCAAGUUAAAGUGCCAAAGUAUCCGCUAACCUAGAUCCCACAAAAGGUGUUGGUUCAUUAAGACAGCAGGACGGUGGCCAUGGAA
RNAcentral lists this ribosomal RNA (1105 nucleotides) under Pedospumella encystans. Its description in RNAcentral is "eukaryotic LSU rRNA". It matches the Rfam family "Eukaryotic large subunit ribosomal RNA", at positions 65 to 1259 of the family's 3401-position model. Lineage: Eukaryota; Chrysophyceae; Chromulinales; Chromulinaceae. The record is from RNAcentral.